Long non-coding RNA from Saccostrea cuccullata (small rock oyster), 511 nucleotides. RefSeq lists it as uncharacterized. Lineage: Eukaryota; Metazoa; Mollusca; Bivalvia; Ostreida; Ostreidae. The transcript has 3 exons. The record is from RefSeq and is a predicted model, not a curated record.
CACAGAUUUACAUUAUAAACUUCGAGUAACACGGCGUACGAUCUAACCGUGAACGAUCACCGGAAGAUUUGGGAAUGUAAACAACGAAGAGUCCAUCGAAAGACCGUAUUUCUUCAGCUUGUUUGGAUGAUUUAACCGAUUCUUACUUGUGUAAAAAUGAUCUAACAUGUUUUCUGUUAAAUAUGCUCUGUUUGUUUGGAUAAUUCCACAGGAACCGUCAACAGCGGACUUGAAUAGAUGAUGUGAUGUGCGAUGACGGAUUUGCCUGCACUCAUGCGUCAUCAUGCGACAUCACAGUAUAAAGGAUUUUAAUCUAAAUAGAAACCCUGCAGAUUUGCAGCUGUGCAGAAUGCAGUUCAUGCCAUAUGCUGUUAGAGUAAAUGAUGAAAGAUGUUCAAACCAGUGUCAAAGAUUCCUAAGACUGAAAUCAUGGUGCUUUUAAUAAGGAGAUCAGUGUAUGUUUUCUGUGCAAUGUUGACAUUUGUGGAACUGUUCAGUUUAUGACCAUCUC